This 440-nucleotide ribosomal RNA is filed under the name uncultured bacterium. Its description in RNAcentral is "partial 16S ribosomal RNA". It matches the Rfam family "Bacterial small subunit ribosomal RNA", at positions 338 to 795 of the family's 1533-position model. The record is from RNAcentral.
CCUACGGGCGGCAGCAGUGGGGAAUAUUGGGCAAUGGGCGCAAGCCUGACCCAGCAACGCCGCGUGAAGGAAGAAGGCUUUCGGGUUGUAAACUUCUUUUGUUAGAGAAGAUAAUGACGGUAUCUAACGAAUAAGCACCGGCUAACUCCGUGCCAGCAGCCGCGGUAAUACGGAGGGUGCAAGCGUUACUCGGAAUCACUGGGCGUAAAGAGCGCGUAGGCGGGAUAGCAAGUCAGAUGUGAAAUCCUAGGGCUUAACCAUAGAACUGCAUUUGAAACUGUUAUUCUAGAGUAUGGGAGAGGUAGGUGGAAUUCUUGGUGUAGGGGUAAAAUCCGUAGAGAUCAAGAGGAAUACUCAUGGCGAAGGCGACCUGCUAGAACAUAACUGACGCUGAUGCGCGAAAGCGUGGGGAGCAAACAGGAUUAGAUACCCGUGUAGUC